UUCCUCCCCACCGCGCGCUCUUACGUUGUUGAUGUCUUCCGCGAAAUGUAAUGAAUAAUUGGCGUCUUUUUGUGGGCAGUGUUAUUGCGGUGCAUUGCUGUUCGCGCCGUGCAUGUCUCACCGUUUUUUUUUAUUAUCAUUCCUCAUAUCAUUCCACACAUUCGUAAUCGCUCAUGUAUGCACGUGCUGGUUCUUUCUUUUUUUCAUUUAUUUUCUUUGUUUUGUUUUUGUUUUGAUCUGUUUCUUUGUCUGUCUUUAUGUAUGAAUGUAUGUCAAAGGCGUUACUUGCCGUGUUUCAGACCAUCACUUCUCUUCAUAUAGCCUCACUCAUAGAUGUGUGUGUGUGUGUGUGUGUGUGUGUGUGUGUGUGUGUGUGUGUGUGUGUGAGCGUAUUUAAUAACACAUGUAUUUGGGAUUAGAGUCAAUUUCAUGUUGUCUCUCUCUCUCUCUCUCUCUCUCUCUCUCUCUCUCUCUCUCUCUCUCUCUCUCUCUCUCUCAUUUUCAAACUUCCACAUUGAACUGUUCUGAGUUUUAGUGUUCUUAGGAAGCCAAAUUCCUUGACAUUGCAAGCAUUAUAAGAUUUUAUCAAUACUUCUUCGAUCGCAUAGUUUUCUCUCUCUCUCUCUCUCUCUCUCUCUCUCUCUCUCUCUCUCUCUCUCUCUCUCUCUCUCUCUCUCUCUCUCUCUCUCUCUCUCGUGGGAUAGAGGUGCGGCACGGUACAGCAAUGAGAGAGUGUGGCGAAGUUGGUGAUCGCCCUAACGCAGACGACGUAAGGAAAGGUGGAAUGGGGCGGGGAGGAGAGAGGGAGGGGGAUGAUCGAUGAUGGCUGGAGGUGGCUUAGAGGAGGUGGAGGUAGAGGUAGUGGUGGUGGUGGUGGUGGUGGUGUUGGUGGUGGAGUCCGGCGGUGUGCGUGUGGUGCCCUCAGUCAGUGCUCAGCCCACACUGCUGCUGCUACUGGUGCUACUGCUGCUACUACUUCUUCGCUGUGUCGGUUAGCAGUGCACCCUCCGCCCCUCUUCUCUCCUCCUAUCUCACGCCUCGUCCUCGUGUUAACAUUCCUAAUCUUUCCAUUCUUAAUUAAUUUUUUUUGGUUCACUAUUUGUACCAUUCCUCGCUGUACCACCAGUUCCUUUUAUUUUUUUUUCUCGCGUUUAACUUUUGUGCUAAUGUUACUAAUUCUAGAUAUUCUUAAAACUUUUUCUUUUUAUUUCAUUGUUUGUGUCAUUCAUUCACUCAUUCUUUUUAUUCUUUUCCUUCCACGUCUCACCCUCGUGCUAACCUAACUAAUCUUUCUUGACACUCAACAUUUGUGCGUUUCUAGAUUUUUUAAUUGUUCUUCUUUUCAUUUAUGAGGGCUGUAUCUCCCUCGUGUUCCUCUUUCAGUGUUUUGUAAAGUGCUAACGUUUACCAUUCAUCGUCUUUAUUUUCUAACUCCAAAGUCCAGAACACUUUUUUUUCUUGUUUCUUAAUUUUCGUCACAAUACGUACUAUUCUCAGUUUUAAUUCCACUGACUCACCUCGUCACUGUCCUAACCUUCCCUUCGUCCCUCAGCCUCACAAACACUUUCCUUCACUCAUCAAAAUCUCUCAAAUUCAUAUCACUGUUUCCAUUUUGCCAUUACCGCUUCUCCAAUCUCUCUUUUUUUUUUCUUUUUCAUCUCCACUUUGCCUCGUUGUCAAUUCAUUAUCACCUUUUAGUCAAUUGCCUCCAGUUCACUUCAGUCUUUUCUGUUAUUUUUCAUUCAUAUUAACUAUUCACCGUGCUGAAUUCCUUUCUGUACGUCAACUUGAACUUAUUACAACCUUCUGUUUCUCAUCUAUUCUUUCUUUUCACGCUUUUAUUCUGUUUCUGUUAAUACUAUAUUUCUUUCUCUAAAAACACACUGUAUUUCACUUCUCAUAGCUCGUCCCUUUCUCUUUCCCUUUCCUUCGUUACUCAUCCUUCACAUGCAGAACUUUCAUCCCUCACGCUUCUUAAAGAUCUAUUGAUAAUGUAUACUUUCCUCUCAAAACUAUUACACGUCAGUUUUCUCACUCCUUUCCUCCUAUUUAUCUCUCACAGAACUUCUCUCCCCAUGUCACUGGUAACGAAAAAUACGCGGGAGGGGAGAGGGGACGAAUAAGUGACAGAAAAUCGAGUGAUAGAAAACGAAGUGACAAUUUAAUAUAUGACUUUUGUGGCCGCGCUUGAAAAGAUUAUAAUUGCGAGUCAGUGUUAGUGAGUUAGUGAGGCCGUGGCGUGGUGAUACGUGUGGCGCUGCGGUGGUGUGGUGUGGUGUGCGUGUAUCUUUGUGCGUGUGUGUCUGUUUGUGUGUGUGUUGUGGUGAUCAUCCCAUCCCGUGGACACCAGGAGCCACGGUCACGAAGGAUGCCCGUGUGAAGGGGAGGAGCAUGGCGCAGGAGCUGGGGGCGGAGGGGGACGCCUCAGGAGAAGACUCUGACGGGCCCCGCAGCGGCGCCAGCUUGUGAGUCUCGCCAUGGCCACCUUCGAAAACUUCCCCACGCCCAACGACACGUACGAGACGCUUCUGCCCCUCGCCUGCACGCCACCGCCCCCGCCCCCGCCCGCCCAUGAAGGCUCGUACGCCCCCACCUCGCCCGCCAUGGGAUGCCAGGCGUCUCUGCCUUUGCCCGCCUCACCGCCCCGCUCGGUGCACUCCCGCCCAAGCUACUCAGACUACUUGGCGUCUUUCCGCGCGGCGUCCCGGGCCGCCGAUGGCCCCCAGACCUUGGAACCACCCUCAAUCAGGCCCUCCUCCGCAUCGCCCGACUACUCGUGUCUUCCAAAGGACAAGAUUCACUUCAUCCUGUCCCUGAAGGAGGCCCUGAAGCGGCACGGCACCGUCCCGGCCUCCUUCAACAAGCUGGGCUUCUUCGAGGAGGUGCACAAGCUGCUGGCUGACGAGGUGUGGCAGAUCCGCAACGAGGCCACGCUGCUCAUCCUGGACCUGCUGCCCUACCUCGGUCCUGACCUGGACGCCUGCAUGGCCAUCGUGCUGCCUCACCUCGUGCCCAAUCUCGGUGACCCACGCCACCUGCUGCGCCGCUCCUCCCUGCGCCUGCUGAAGGCCUACGCCGCCAUCAGCAGGGACCCCGAGGGCCUGGUGGACGACAUCAUCACCUACGGCGUGAGUCACCGCAGUCGGCGUGUGGGUGCCCAGGUGAUGGUGAGCCUGGAGCACCUGAUGCGUGAGGAGACUCUGCGUGGCGUGGACCUGGCGCCCCUCGCCCGCGCCUUGCUGGCCAAGCUGCACGACGUUGAGCUGCAGCCCGCCGCCCUGUUGCCCCUACUGGCCCUACGCAGCCUGGUGGGCGACGCCACCUUCACCACCUACCUGAGUCACCUGAGUGCUGAUUCCCGGGAGAAGCUUGACCGCCUGGUGGUGGAGGGGGAGCCGCCCCCCGACGACGACACAGACGUGGUGGUGGUUAGUCGCUCCUACAGCAGGCACUCCACGCCUCGUCCCGCUGCGGCCUCUGACAAGGAGUACGGGGUGGUGGACGCCGCCACCAUGAACAAGAUACGACACUCGGAGGACUGGAAGACGCGAGCGGAGGGGUGUGAGGAGCUGCGUGGUGUGGUGAAGAGCCUGGGGGACGCCGCGCCCUUGCUGCCUCACCUGCCUCACUUCCUGCAGCUCCUAGACUCCCUCUUCGACGACAACAACUUCCGCAUCUCCCUCACCGUGCUGGACAUCUUCAGGCUGCUCCUUGACCUGCUGGACAAGGGCACGCUGCUCGACCACCUUCGCCAGUUGGUACACGCCGUCAGGAAGCACGUGGGCGACUCCAAGGUGGUGGUGCGGAUAGAGAAUAUGCGUGUCUUCCGGCGGCUACUGCAGGCCGCCUCCCCUGCCGCGGUAGUGCCCAUACUCUGCGACGCUCUCAGCUCCCACCGCUCCUCACGCGUCAGGGAGGACUCGCUCAACCUCAUCAUCUACGCCCUCAUGACCUUCCCCAGCUAUGAGUUUGACCUGAGGCGGCUGGCGGAGCGGGUGAGCGUCAGUGUGGCGGACCCCAAGCGGCGGGUGCGGCACGCGGCGCUGGAGUGUCUGGCGGCCAUCGCGCAGUUCCUCGGCCCCGCCAAGCUCGGCCCCCUCUUGACGGCCGUGGACAGGGUGGAGGAAGAGGAGGAGGCCCCCGGCGCCUUGGAGGCCGUGCAGGCGCGGCUGGCAAGGCGGCAGCUGCCCAAGGUGUCCCCUGACGGCCUGAUAGAGUUCUCCUUGGUGGUGCCCGCGCCCGGGAGACACUCCAGCCUUGCGCGGGUCAAGGGCGCUGACGUGGACUGGGUGCUGGCGGGGGCGGGGGGAGGGGCAUCAGGGUCUCAGGGCGUGGGGUGGCCUUCCUCCCUCUCCGCCUCCUUCACCGCCUCGGACUCUUACGUCAACAAACUCGCCUUCACCCACCCGCAGUCCUCGCCCACCCAGCGGCCCAGACACGUCCAGCUCGAGGAAUCGCUCCACAGAAAACGGUCCAUAUCAGACGUGACGCUCGACAAGACGGAGGAUCGAGGCCUGUCUCUCUGGACCACAGACACCAUUGAUCUCAACAGGACGGCGCCCUCUGACCUCGGAGGAGGCUAUCGCGGCGUGUACCUCGGCAGGCUUCGUCAGGAGUCCGCCGUGCCCUCCUCCUCCUCCUCCUCCUAUUCUCCUUAUCCACGAGACGGCAAUGUGGUUGACAAAGGCUACUCACUGCUGCCCAAUAAAUACGGCGCGGGAGGAGGGGGCGGCACCGGCGGUUUGGGCAGCGCGAGAGGUGGGGACCGACCCGCCAGCCGCUCCCCAUCCAUGCCUCGCAGGAUCAACGCCCUCGCGCCACUCGACCAAGGCGAGGGGUUGGUAGUGAGUCGCGCUACCUCCACUCGUAGCAUCAUCCCGCCACUCUCUGCUGUGUCCCGCCGCUCCCAUGUCCACGACCUACGCCACCACUCACACCACCCUGACGACUUCGACGAGGAGGACGAUAAUGUCAAGUCAGACUUCUACGAUGACGAUGAAGGGGAGGACGUGGCGAGUGAGGAAGAGGUGGAAGAGGAGGAGCAUGUGGUGAGGGAGAACAUGCUAUUGGAAAGUCAAAUCUCGCGCCCCAAGAGUUCUGCCACCACGCGAGACAGCGGUAUCUCCGUUUUCUCUUCUAGCAAUGACGCUGAGGCGCACACAGAGAACGGAAAGGGGAUGGUUGGACACGAGAAGGAGAGGAGUAGGAGUAGAUAUAGCAAAGACACCGCCACGCCCUCGCCUCAUCCCUCGUCCCCCGCCUACAGCUUCUCCUCCGGUGAUGAACAAGGGAGGUCGUCUUUUGAUGCGGCGCAGGCAGGCAGGAGGAGAAAAGGAGCAGAUGCCACCUCGCCCUCCCGCCACUCCCUGCCCAAUGACGCCCUUCUCUCCAGCGGCCUCGGUGUGGUUGGCAAGGGUGUUGUUGGUGGCGGUGGCCGCUCCCGCACUAAUCACAAUGAUAAGGAUUUCCGAAACUUUGACUACGAGAGUGACUUCGAAACGGACGAGGAGGACAUCAAGCUUGCCAACACCACUCUCACCAAGAUGAAGCUUCUCAGUAAAAAGCAAGAGAACAUGAAAGAGAUCGACCGUCGCCGCCAAGACCGGGAGACACGGCGUGCUCAGGAGGAGAGAGUCAAAAAGUACCGGCAGCUGGAGAUGCAGCACAGCCAGAACUCCCUGCAACCUUCCAGUGCUGACAGCGGGGACUCCAAGCUGUCCGUUCAUCCCAACCUGAGUUACCGGGGUCGAGACGCCAGUGCUCGCCGCACCUACCGCCGCAGUCCCCGCCACAGUCCCACACCAAGCCCCACACCCCUUGCCAGGAUACCCAAGAGCAGGAGUCACAAUGCAAACCUUAGCAAGGGCUUUAGCAAAGCCACCGAGAAGCGACACCGGUCGCUGGAAAGGAACAUCAACACUCAGGCCAACGGUGUCCACCCUCGAGAAACCUUCAGUAGAACGCCACAGCUGGUGAAGCGAGGACAACCCCCUGUAAGUUUUGGUGGUGGUGGUAGUGGACAUCUGAGCAACAGUCUGGGCAGCAACAGACGAUAUGCCAAGCGUCCACCAGACAGGACCCCAGACUAUCCCACCACCCCAAUGGAAAGUGUAGGGCUGAGGAUAGCAAAGCCGGCCUCCUCAUGCUUCAAGCAGAACCUCGAACCUUUUGCCAGCCCACCUGAUGCUCUCAGGAUUGCCAAUGAGCGCCUCAACUCCAAUGACUGGGAGGGUCAGGUGGAGGGGAUUGAGAUGCUGGUGCGGCUGGCUCACCACCACCCAGACACUGUGCUGGGCAACCUACGCAACAUCAACAUGUCCCUCAUGAAGCAGGCUAAGAACCUUCGCUCCCAGGUGUCCCGCGCUGCAAUCCAGGCCUUCACCUGCUUCUUUGAUACUUUCAAACGCAGCAUGGAGGGUGAUGCUGAAAAAAUAGCAACCAUCCUGCUGAAUCGGACAGUUGACACCAACAAGUUCCUUCAGCUGGACAGUAACCAUGCCCUGGAUGCCAUGCUGGAGAACAUCACUCCCUCCAAGGCCAUUCCUGCCAUCCUUCAAGAGGGACUUGGUCACAGGAAUCCCGCCGUGAGGACCAAUGUGGCGCGACUGGUGGCCUACGAGGUGGAGAGACUUGGGGCCAGCCGUGUGUUGUCGGGCCAGAAGGACAUCACGGAUCGAGUGCUGCUGGCCGCUGCCAAGCUGGCUCAGGAGGGGAGUCUGGAAACAAGACAAUACGCCAAGCAGAUAUUCCAUCCCUUGAUUCAGCAAGGUCAGUUUGAUGCCGUCCUCAAAAAAUAUGUGCCAGCCAAUGACAUCAGGAAUCUACAGAAGCUCCUUGAUAAUUUGUCCAAUGAGGGCCGCACUGUCCAUGACUCUGCACGCACCAAGUUUGCCACCGGCUCCCGCUACACCAGGACCAUGUGAAGCUGCCAGACCAAUCCUUUCAUGCAUGUCAUUUGGUGUUCAUGAUGCAUUUUGUAUCUUUAAGUCCAACCACAAAUGUUAUGUUUUGUACCUACGAAAAGAAGAUGGAGAAGCUGAUAUGGUAUAAACAUUUUCAUAGCUUGUGAUGAUGGUGGGAUGUGAUACAGGAGGUGUCUGGAAGAGAACCACCACCAUCCUCAGCAGGUCACACGUCCCUUCACUCUGAGCACCUACUAGGGUGCGUUGGAACCCUCUCAGUCAUUCUUGUUCCACGAGCAGAUCCAGUCAUUAUAUGCUGAGUUGAUAUGAUUUAUUUAUAUAUAUAUGUAUAUGUAUAUUUGUUAUUUUGACUGAAAAGUUGCUUAUUUACCUUAAUUCAACAAUGAAUGACAAAUUGUGCUUCAGUUCCUGUUUAUUAAUGGAAAAAUUUAUUUACUUAGUUGUUAUCUGGAAAUGGAGUAAUUUGUAAAAGUGUGUGACGCAAGUAACUGAUGUUUUCUCUCUUCUCCAAUCUUCAGUUUUUUUCAUGUUUUCCUGUGGAGUUAUUAAACUUUACUAAUCUCUUCCACCUAUCUCCAUCAAAGAUACUAUAUAUUCGCUUGUUAGCACUUCAUCCACAUACAUGUAGUCUUCAUUUGGUUAAUUGAUGAUAAUGGCUGGCAUAAAAAUUAAGGGAUUCAUAGAGGGACAUAAAGGCUUAUUUCUCCUAUUGAUUAAGAAACCUACUGAGUCUGUGAUGCAUAAAUCUAAGUGGACAUGGAGAGCACUGCAGGGCCAAGGCAGGGCGGUGCAGGCUGGGUGUGCUCCUUGUGAUUCAGGCUUCUGUUGUCUAGCGGCCAGGAAGAGCAGCUCAAUCAGGAUUUUGUGGGAACAUUCUCUGCUGUUGAAAGUUUAUGAGAUUCACACUUGUCCGUCCAUUAUUAUUCAGGUUUUCUUUCUUGUAGAUAGAAUUGUUUACUCUUUACAUGUAAAUAGAGCAGGUAUGACUUUAAUGUUAGAUUGGGACUUUAAAGCCUUUCUCAAAGAUUGCAUUAGUCUCAGUACUAAUUAGAAAAGCUGACUAUUUGCUCCAGAGAAGGUCCAGAAUUUUAUGUAAAUAGUUAUUAUAUCAGAUAUUAUCUGAAAUUUAAUGCAGAGACCUAUUUCAGUUAAUUUUAGUGAAUGGCAUGGUGGUGCUAUAUAUAUUUGUAUAUGCUGUUAUACAUUUCAUAUAUUUAUCUAAUCUUUAUAUUUGUGCCUAAGGUUUGCACAAAUGGCUAAGUGUCACCAUUCCCUAUCCCUAGUCAUCCUCUCAUGAUGGCGUGCAUAUAUUUGGCUCGGUUUUGUCAAGUCUUCCUGUGGAUCAGCAAGAUCUUGUUUUUUUUCUCUUUAUUUUCUAGUGAAGCAAACUCUUACAUUCCUGUUUAUCAACCAGGAACUCUUAAGAGAUGCACAUGAUAUCAAUUUUUUUUUUUCUCCAUUUAAUAAGCAGGUAUCUUUAGUUAGAAACCUUUUAAAUGAACAAUGACACUCUUUAUUAAAUUACUUGUAUUUACCAUGACUGUCUUUGGAGGAGCAAAGCAUUUCAGUGUGCAGUGCUACACUUUGAGGAAUUAUGGAAAUCAAAAUGUAGUUCUAGCACAUUUGUGUCAGUGGUGGGGCCAGAGGUCGGUGAUGAACACACAGAUACACAUUCAUCUUUCUCCACACCGGGCUAACACUCCCAGCAAGGAGAGACAGCUGAGGCAAGGCAAGACAUCCCACAGACACUCAAUGACUUCCAUAAUCACAUCACAUGCAUUCCCUUACAAAAAUAUAACAUCCUGGCCUCAUCAUGCAUACUCAUACCUAAAUAUUUGGAUAGAAUCACAAUUAAAUUGUAAUAUAUAAAGUUGCAAUAUAUAUAAGGUUAAACUUAUGGGUGUCAGCAGGUAAAUUAGGCUGUGACACAUGAACUCCUGUUGAUAAUGGCAGUCAAAAUAGGGAAGUGCUGUGUUGGUCUGUGUGAAGGAGUAUGAUAGAUCUUAAGACCUCCUUCGUUACAUGACAUACUCAUGAACAUGAGCUGAGCUUUUGUCUGCCUGUGACAAUAUAACACUUGUUAUCUACUUCAAUUAAGAUGAAAGAUUUGACAUAACCAUUUUUCCAUUUAAUGUCAGUGGUGUCUUUCAAAAUUAUACUUUAAGCUUGCACUGCUACAUUUCAUUAAGCUUGAGGAGAAGCCAGAGCAUUCAGAGUUGAGAGUUGUGGCUUCUGUCGGGAUUCACAAAUUGAUUGUUAUUAUUUCAAUUAUUUUUCCCACCAGUCUUAAUUCUCAUUUAUCAGAUAUCCUGUCAUAAUCUUGUAGAGACUCAGCAUUGUGCUAAGUUUAUUUCCUGUCAUUCCAACACACAACAUAUUUUGCUGUUGGGAAUGAAAACCCAAAUCACCCAUACUACAUGCAGAGAUGCCAGUGCCUCAUGAUCACUCAUUCCAUUGGCAUGCUUGACAGCCCCAUUAGGUCAUGAAGAGUCUCCACUCGCAUCAGCAGAAACAUUUACAAUUCAUGCUUAGGUCCUCAUGCAGUAGACAGGUAGUAAUGACAUCAAGGUAAAUUAUUACUUCCUCGCCAAAGACUUUGCUAUUUCACAGAGCAGGUUUUUUAUUUUGCCUGUAGUCAGUAGGUAUACAAUAGAAUUUAUGGUUGUAAAUAUUGUAAUAUCUUCUGUUUUAUAGAUAUCUGUAGGCAUAGACAGCGAUACAGGUAGGUACAGUCAUGGUCAGAAGCAGAGUAACCAUCUUCACUCACUUCCACUGUGUGUAGGGUUUUCCUGCAGUGCUGAUACAGUUAUAUGGGCAACUGAGUAGUGAAGGUGGUAGACAAAUCUCAUAUUGACCCAGGAAUACUUUACUUAUCUUAUGUUUUGACGAUAAGUACAUCUCUCUGAGGAAGACUUGCAGUCAAAAUGUUAAAGAAGUAAAAUAUUCUUGGGUCAACCUGAAAUUUGUCAACCACCUUCACUUUUCCUGCAGUGUUACAUCCUCUCACUUGCCAGACAUCUGUCACACCUCAGGUCUGGUCAGAUCAUCAGUAGAUCAGGAGGGGAAAAAAUUUAGAGGAAAAACUUUAGACACAACAGAAAUCAAUACAGAAUGUUACUCUUCCACUGACUGUGACUGUGCUGCUAUACUUUGUCUGACCCGUCCAAGUUCUCCGUCCGGGAUGCUGGAAGUCAUCUGUUUAGGACUGUAAAAGUUGAAUGUUAAAAAAAGAAAAAUAAAGCGUCAUUGUGUG
RNAcentral lists this unclassified non-coding RNA (10176 nucleotides) under Portunus trituberculatus (swimming crab). RNAcentral describes it as "tOG array regulator of axonemal microtubules protein 1-like, transcript variant X3". Lineage: Eukaryota; Metazoa; Arthropoda; Malacostraca; Decapoda; Portunidae. The record is from RNAcentral.